This 96-nucleotide ribosomal RNA is filed under the name Enterobacter hormaechei. The record is from RNAcentral. RNAcentral also lists the same sequence under 3 other names. Lineage: Bacteria; Pseudomonadati; Pseudomonadota; Gammaproteobacteria; Enterobacterales; Enterobacteriaceae.
GGUCCCACCUGACCCCAUGCCGAACUCAGAAGUGAAACGCCGUAGCGCCGAUGGUAGUGUGGGGUCUCCCCAUGUGAGAGUAGGGAACUGCCAGAC